This 220-nucleotide ribosomal RNA is filed under the name Achromobacter xylosoxidans. Its description in RNAcentral is "partial 16S ribosomal RNA". It matches the Rfam family "Bacterial small subunit ribosomal RNA", at positions 1315 to 1533 of the family's 1533-position model. The record is from RNAcentral. Lineage: Bacteria; Pseudomonadati; Pseudomonadota; Betaproteobacteria; Burkholderiales; Alcaligenaceae.
ACUGCGUGAAGUCGGAAUCGCUAGUAAUCGCGGAUCAGCAUGUCGCGGUGAAUACGUUCCCGGGUCUUGUACACACCGCCCGUCACACCAUGGGAGUGGGUUUUACCAGAAGUAGUUAGCCUAACCGCAAGGGGGGCGAUUACCACGGUAGGAUUCAUGACUGGGGUGAAGUCGUAACAAGGUAGCCGUAUCGGAAGGUGCGGCUGGAUCACCUCCUUUC